UACGUAGGGGGCGAGCGUUGUCCGGAAUCAUUGGGCGUAAAGGGCGCGUAGGCGGCUGUAUAAGUCUGAUGUGAAAGUGCGGGGCUUAACCCCGUAAAGCAUUGGAAACUGUACGGCUUGAGGACAGGAGAGGAAAGUGGAAUUCCUAGUGUAGCGGUGAAAUGCGUAGAUAUUAGGAGGAACACCAGUGGCGAAGGCGACUUUCUGGACUGUAACUGACGCUAAACUGCGAAGGUGUGGGUAUC
RNAcentral lists this ribosomal RNA (245 nucleotides) under uncultured Syntrophobotulus sp. Its description in RNAcentral is "partial 16S ribosomal RNA". It matches the Rfam family "Bacterial small subunit ribosomal RNA", at positions 524 to 769 of the family's 1533-position model. Lineage: Bacteria; Bacillati; Bacillota; Clostridia; Eubacteriales; Desulfitobacteriaceae. The record is from RNAcentral.